AUGAAGAUGAGCCGGCAAUGGAUGUAUGAUAACCGAUGCUCUCCCCAUUUCGUUGAUGGUGUGCAUACUUUUUUGCUUGUGGCUGAGGCAAACAAGCGGGCGGAUGGUUUUAUGCCUUGUCCAUGUGCUGGCUGUAAGAAUGGUCAGAAUUACUCUAAGUUAAAAACCAUUCACGUCCACCUGUUUAAGUCCGGUUUCAUUCCCCACUUUAAUGUUUGGACCAAGCACGGAGAAAGAGGGGUUAUGAUGGAAGACAAUGAAGAAGAAGAGGACGACGAUAGCUAUCCUGGACAUGGGUUCCCUGAAUACGAUGAUACAAUAAUGGGGGAAGAAGUUGAGCCAGCAAUGCGGGAAGAAUCUGAGCCAGCAAUGCGGGAAGAAACUAAAGAAGAGGCAUCAGAUGAGCCAGCUGAUGAUCUAGGUCGGGCCAUUGCUGAUGCAGAGAGAACUGCACAAGUGAAAAGGAGAAGAAGAAGAUGCAGCGCAUGUUAG
Molecule: ribosomal RNA, 492 nt
Filed under: Triticum aestivum (bread wheat)
Lineage: Eukaryota; Viridiplantae; Streptophyta; Magnoliopsida; Poales; Poaceae
Description: partial small subunit ribosomal RNA
Source: RNAcentral